This 253-nucleotide ribosomal RNA is filed under the name uncultured bacterium. RNAcentral's name for it is "partial 16S ribosomal RNA". It matches the Rfam family "Bacterial small subunit ribosomal RNA", at positions 524 to 776 of the family's 1533-position model. The record is from RNAcentral.
UACGUAGGCAGCGAGCGUUGUUCGGAAUUACUGGGCGUAAAGAGUGCGUAGGCGGUGCUCUAAGUCUGGUGUGAAAUCUCCCGGCUCAACUGGGAGGGUGCGCCGGAAACUGGAGUGCUUGAGUGUGGGAGAGGUAAGCGGAAUUCCUGGUGUAGCGGUGAAAUGCGUAGAUAUCAGGAGGAACACCUGUGGUGUAGACAGCUUACUGGACCACGACUGACGCUGAGGCACGAAAGCGUGGGUAGCAAACAGG